RNAcentral lists this ribosomal RNA (445 nucleotides) under uncultured bacterium. RNAcentral's name for it is "bacterial SSU rRNA". It matches the Rfam family "Bacterial small subunit ribosomal RNA", at positions 354 to 796 of the family's 1533-position model. The record is from RNAcentral.
GUAGGGAAUAUUGCGCAAUGGAGGCAACUCUGACGCAGCCAUGCCGCGUGCAGGAAGAAGGCGCUACGCGUUGUAAACUGCUUUUAACCGGGAAGAAACCCCAGGACGUGUCCUGGGUUGACGGUACCGGAGGAAUAAGCACCGGCUAACUUCGUGCCAGCAGCCGCGGUAAUACGAAGGGUGCAAGCGUUAUCCGGAUUCAUUGGGUUUAACGGGUGCGUAGGCGGAGCGUUAAGUCAGUGGUGAAAUCCUGCAGCUUAACUGUAGACUUGCCAUUGAUACUGGCGCUCUUGAGUGCGCUUGAAGUGGGCGGAAUGUGCCGUGUAGCGGUGAAAUGCUUAGAUAUGGCACAGAACACCAAUUGCGAAGGCAGCUCACUAAGGCGAUACUGACGCUGAGGCACGAAAGCGUGGGGAUCGAACAGGAUUAGAAACCCGUGUAGUCC